GACGAACGCUGGCGGCGUGCCUAAUACAUGCAAGUCGAACGAACUCUGGUAUUGAUUGGUGCUUGCAUCAUGAUUUACAUUUGAGUGAGUGGCGAACUGGUGAGUAACACGUGGGAAACCUGCCCAGAAGCGGGGGAUAACACCUGGAAACAGAUGCUAAUACCGCAUAACAACUUGGACCGCAUGGUCCGAGUUUGAAAGAUGGCUUCGGCUAUCACUUUUGGAUGGUCCCGCGGCGUAUUAGCUAGAUGGUGGGGUAACGGCUCACCAUGGCAAUGAUACGUAGCCGACCUGAGAGGGUAAUCGGCCACAUUGGGACUGAGACACGGCCCAAACUCCUACGGGAGGCAGCAGUAGGGAAUCUUCCACAAUGGACGAAAGUCUGAUGGAGCAACGCCGCGUGAGUGAAGAAGGGUUUCGGCUCGUAAAACUCUGUUGUUAAAGAAGAACAUAUCUGAGAGUAACUGUUCAGGUAUUGACGGUAUUUAACCAGAAAGCCACGGCUAACUACGUGCCAGCAGCCGCGGUAAUACGUAGGUGGCAAGCGUUGUCCGGAUUUAUUGGGCGUAAAGCGAGCGCAGGCGGUUUUUUAAGUCUGAUGUGAAAGCCUUCGGCUCAACCGAAGAAGUGCAUCGGAAACUGGGGAACUUGAGUGCAGAAGAGGACAGUGGAACUCCAUGUGUAGCGGUGAAAUGCGUAGAUAUAUGGAAGAACACCAGUGGCGAAGGCGGCUGUCUGGUCUGUAACUGACGCUGAGGCUUUAAAGUAUGUGUAGCAAACAGGAUUAGAUACCCUGGUAGUCCAUACCGUAAACGAUGAAUGCUAAGUGUUGGAAGGGUUUCCGCCCUUCAGUGCUGCAGCUAACGCAUUAAGCAUUCCGCCUGGGGAGUACGGCCGCAAGGCUGAAACUCAAAGGAAUUGACGGGGGCCCGCACAAGCGGUGGAGCAUGUGGUUUAAUUCGAAGCUACGCGAAGAACCUUACCAGGUCUUGACAUACUAUGCAAAUCUAAGAGAUUAGACGUUCCCUUCGGGGACAUGGAUACAGGUGGUGCAUGGUUGUCGUCAGCUCGUGUCGUGAGAUGUUGGGUUAAGUCCCGCAACGAGCGCAACCCUUAUCAUCAGUUGCCAGCAUUAAGUUGGGCUCUCUGGUGAGACUGCCGGUGACAAACCGGAGGAAGGUGGGGAUGACGUCAAAUCAUCAUGCCCCUUAUGACCUGGGCUACACACGUGCCACAAUGGAUGGUACAACGAGUUGCGAACUCGCGAGAGUAAGCUAAUCUCUUAAAGCCAUUCUCAGUUCGGAUUGUAGGCUGCAACUCGCCUACAUGAAGUCGGAAUCGCUAGUAAUCGCGGAUCAGCAUGCCGCGGUGAAUACGUUCCCGGGCCUUGUACACACCGCCCGUCACACCAUGAGAGUUUGUAACACCCAAAGUCGGUGGGGUAACCUUUUAGGAACCAGCCGCCUAAGGUGGGACAGAUGAUUAGGGUGAAGUCGUAACAAGGUAGCCGUAGGAGAACC
This 1520-nucleotide ribosomal RNA is filed under the name uncultured bacterium. Its description in RNAcentral is "16S ribosomal RNA". It matches the Rfam family "Bacterial small subunit ribosomal RNA". The record is from RNAcentral.